RNAcentral lists this ribosomal RNA (269 nucleotides) under uncultured bacterium. Its description in RNAcentral is "partial 16S ribosomal RNA". It matches the Rfam family "Bacterial small subunit ribosomal RNA", at positions 333 to 598 of the family's 1533-position model. The record is from RNAcentral.
CUGUACCUACGGGAGGCAGCAGUGAGGAAUAUUGGUCAAUGGGCUUACGCCUGAACCAGCCAAGGCGCGUGAGGGAAGACUGCCCUAUGGGUUGUAAACCUCUUUUGUCAGGGAGCAACGCCGGCUACGUGUAGCCGGACUGAGAGUACCUGAAGAAAAAGCAUCGGCUAACUCCGUGCCAGCAGCCGCGGUAAUACGGAGGGUGCGAGCGUUAUCCGGAGUUAUUGGGUUUAAAGAGUGCGUAGGCGGGAUGCCAAGUCAGCGGUAAA